GAGUUUGAUUCUGGCUCAGGAUGAACGCUGGCGGCACGCCUAACACAUGCAAGUCGAACGGAGUUUAAGAGAGCUUGCUCUUUAAACUUAGUGGCGGACGGGUGAGUAACACGUGAGCAACCUGCCUUUCAGAGAGGGAUAGCUUCUGGAAACGGAUGGUAAUACCUCAUAACAUAUUGGUACGGCAUCGUAUUAAUAUCAAAGAUUUAUCGCUGAAAGAUGGGCUCGCGUCUGAUUAGCUAGUUGGUGAGGUAACGGCUCACCAAGGCAACGAUCAGUAGCCGGACUGAGAGGUUGAACGGCCACAUUGGGACUGAGACACGGCCCAGACUCCUACGGGAGGCAGCAGUGGGGAAUAUUGCACAAUGGGCGCAAGCCUGAAUGCAGCGAUGCCGCGUGAGGGAAGAAGGUUUUCGGAUUGUAAACCUCUGUCAUCGGGGACGAAAAUGACGGUACCCGAGAAGGAAGCUCCGGCUAACUACGUGCCAGCAGCCGC
RNAcentral lists this ribosomal RNA (496 nucleotides) under uncultured bacterium. Its description in RNAcentral is "bacterial SSU rRNA". It matches the Rfam family "Bacterial small subunit ribosomal RNA", at positions 9 to 518 of the family's 1533-position model. The record is from RNAcentral.